This is a microRNA precursor of Nicotiana attenuata, 95 nucleotides long. It matches the Rfam family "MIR6152 microRNA precursor family". NCBI's taxonomy places the organism in Eukaryota, Viridiplantae, Streptophyta, Magnoliopsida, Solanales, Solanaceae. The record is from Rfam.
UGUAUUCGACUGUAUUCGAUUGUAUUCACGGCGUGAAAUAGAGAAUUACAUUAUUUUUAAAACGAAAAGUGAAUCAAUUAACAUAAUAGACUCCU